CUCCGGAGGUUAGUGGCGAACGAGUUAGUAUAAGCUUGAUAACCUACCCCAAAGUCAUGGAUAACCUGCGGAAACGUGGGCUAAUACAUGAUGGUCUGCAUCUUCACAAGGAGAUGUAGUAAAGUUCCGACGCUCUGGGAGGGGUCUAGCCCGUAUCAGCUAGUUGGUGAGGUAAUGGCUCACCAAGGCUAUGACGCGUAGGGGACCUGAGAGGGUGACCCCCAACGAUGGGACUGCGACACGGCCCAUACUCCUACGGGAGGCAGCAGCCGAGAAUCUUCCGCAAUGCACUCUUUAGUGUGACGGAGCGACGCCGCGUGAAGGAAUGAAGCCCUGUGGGGUGUAAACUUCUGUCGGGGAGGAGCAAUUUUUGAGAGUACUCCCCUAAUAGAGGCUGCUAACUUCGUGCCAGCAGCAGCGGUAAUACGAAGGCCUCGAGCGUUAUCCGGAUUUAUUGGGCGUAAAGCGUCCGCAGUCGGAUUGAAAAGUCUUUGCUAAAAUCCUUGGGCUCAACCCAAGGCCUGUCAUUGAAACUUUCAAUCUAGAGUAUGUCAGAGGUAAGCGGAACUCAUGGUGUAGCAGUGAUAAGCGUUGAUAUCAUGGGGAACACCAAAGGCGAAGGCAGCUUACUGGGGCAUUACUGACGAUCAGGGACGAAAGUGUAGGUAUCGAAGCGGAUUAGAUACCCGCGUAGUCUACACCCUAAACGAUGGACACUAGACAUUUGGAGCAUCGACCCUCCGAGUGUCGAAGCUAACGCGUUAAGUGUCCCGCCUGGGAAGUACGGCCGCAAGGCUAAAACUCAAAGGAAUGGACGGGAGCUCGCACAAGUGGUGGAGCAUGUGGUUUAAUUCGAUGAUAAGCGGGGAACCUUACCAGGUCUAGACAUCAUUCUGCAAGCCUUUGGAAACAUUGGCCGCCUUAGAGGGUGAAUGACAGGUGAUGCACGGUUGUCGUCAGCUCGUGCCGUGAGGUGUUCCGUUAAGUCGGGAAACGAGCGCAACCCUCAUCGUCAGUUACAAGUGUCUGGCGAGACUGCCCGGGUUAACCGGGAGGAAGGAGAGGAUGACGUCAAAUCAGCGUGUUCCUAGACGACCUGGGCUACACACGUGCUACAAUGGGAUGGACAACGGGUUGCUACAUCGCAAGAUCAAGCUAAUCCCUUAAACCAUUCCUCAGUUCGGAUAGAAGGCUGCAACUCGCCUUCUUGAAGCUGGAAUCACUAGUAAUCGCGGAUCAGCCUCGCCGCGGUGAAUACGUUCUCGAGCUUUGUACUCACCGCCCGUCACGUCAAGGGAGCCGGUAAUACCCGAAGCAUGUUCAUUAA
RNAcentral lists this ribosomal RNA (1327 nucleotides) under uncultured organism. RNAcentral describes it as "bacterial SSU rRNA". It matches the Rfam family "Bacterial small subunit ribosomal RNA", at positions 83 to 1438 of the family's 1533-position model. The record is from RNAcentral.